Molecule: ribosomal RNA, 253 nt
Filed under: uncultured bacterium
Lineage: Bacteria
Description: partial 16S ribosomal RNA
Rfam family: Bacterial small subunit ribosomal RNA
Source: RNAcentral
UACGGGGGGGGCAAGCGUUGUUCGGAAUUACUGGGCGUAAAGGGCUCGUAGGUGGCCAAUUAAGUCAGGCGUGAAGUCCCCAGGCUCAACUUGGGAACUGCGUCUGAUACUGGUUGGCUUGAAUUCGGGAGAGGGAUGCAGAAUUCCAGGUGUAGCGGUGAAAUGCGUAGAUAUCUGGAGGAAUACCGGUGGCGAAGGCGGCAUCCUGGACCGAGAUUGACACUGAGGAGCGAAAGCCAGGGGAGCAAACGGG